RNAcentral lists this ribosomal RNA (253 nucleotides) under uncultured bacterium. Its description in RNAcentral is "partial 16S ribosomal RNA". It matches the Rfam family "Bacterial small subunit ribosomal RNA", at positions 524 to 776 of the family's 1533-position model. The record is from RNAcentral.
UACGCAGGGGGCUAGCGUUGCUCGGAAUCACUGGGCGUAAAGCGCGCGUAGGCGGACCUGCAAGUCGGGGGUGAAAGCCUGAGGCUCAACCUCGGAACUGCCUUCGAUACUGCGGGUCUCGAGUCCGGGAGAGGUGAGUGGAAUUCCUAGUGUAGAGGUGAAAUUCGUAGAUAUUAGGAAGAACACCAGUGGCGAAGGCGGCUCACUGGCCCGGUACUGACGCUGAGGCGCGAAAGCGUGGGGAGCAAACAGG